UAAAACCAACAAUAAAUAAAAAUCUCAAAAAGAUCAAGCAAAGCAAAUAAAUAAACUAGCAAACAAUCACGAUAUAAGAAAUUCUAAAUAAAGACGAAUACUACGGAAAGAAACAAAACUAGCCUCUCUCCUGGAUCCACGGAGUACUUACAACCUGGACAUAGCUACAAAUAAGAGCAUCGACAGCAGCGCCUUCGUCUGUCUUCCCCUCCGGGCCACUGAAGACUGGAUGACAGCGACUGAUGACGCCCCUAGAGUUAUCAAAUCAACAAUACAACUAACAAACCAGCUAAAUGUAAUUAUAUUUAAGAAUAGUAAUCCAAAUUAAAUUUAAAGCAUAGUAAUCCGAAUUGAAUUUAAAGAAUAGUAAUCUAAAUUGAAUUUAAUGAAGAAAAUCUGACUUAGUCUUUACUCUUCCCCACCAAAUUAAAUCUUUAUAAAUAAAUAUAACUUUACUAGAUAGAUAUAUAUAUGUAUAUAAAAAAAGAAAACACUCAUUUAUUUGUAAAAUUCAAACUUUAGUAAUAAACACUUAUAUUAAGUUUCGCCUACUACUAGCUUAUAAUACUUACCACAUAAGUGAAUUGUAAAUAAGCUGCCAACUAAUUUCUAGAAAGUACUAACGCAAAGCACUGAGAAAUGAAUAAAGACACCCUGUUCCCUCUUCUCUCACCUUUACGCUGCUGGGCAGCCUAAAGCUUGAGGCGAGAAAAAGCAGGGCAAUUGUGUAUGUGAUUCCCUCGCAUGCAGGCUGAA
Long non-coding RNA from Drosophila mojavensis, 756 nucleotides. RefSeq lists it as uncharacterized. NCBI's taxonomy places the organism in Eukaryota, Metazoa, Arthropoda, Insecta, Diptera, Drosophilidae. The record is from RefSeq and is a predicted model, not a curated record. The transcript is spliced from 2 exons.